This is a long non-coding RNA of Vidua macroura (Pin-tailed whydah), 2192 nucleotides long. RefSeq lists it as uncharacterized. The transcript is spliced from 8 exons. The record is from RefSeq and is a predicted model, not a curated record. NCBI's taxonomy places the organism in Eukaryota, Metazoa, Chordata, Aves, Passeriformes, Viduidae.
GAGACACUUAAAGGAAGGAACUGCUGGGAUGGAGACAGACAUGAGACAGUGUGUUCUGGAAAGUUAAAAGCUUAGCCAGCGUACCAAGGAGAAAUUGCCUCUUCGUAGUGGUUGUGCUGCCUGCUGCGGAGUGACACCAGUGUCUGGUACCGGGGGACCUGCCUGCAGGCUGGUCCCACACUGCUCCCCAGGGAAUAGUGCAGACACAGAAAAGCAGGUGAUGAAUGAACAGCUUUUUCCUUGAAGCAGAAACCAGGAUGGUCUUAAGCACACAAGAAGCCUCUGCAAACUCAUGUGGAAAUACUUGUGACAUGUACAUUAAUGCUACAUGUACUGGAACCAGCUUCUCCUGGGGACGGGGGUGUCUGGGAGAGCAGCUAUGGCUCAGAAUAAAAUGCUGCUUUUAGAAUUAACCCAUCUGUAAUGGCAACAGCUCUCACAAGCUGAGCUGUUUUGCUUCUACACUAGCAGCAAGUAGAAUGGCUACUACUGCUGAGCCAUCCUGAGCUGUGAUGGGUCUUUGAUCUUCCUUCACAAAAGGCAGAAAAAUAAAAAAGGAAAAUUAAUCUCUCGGGGGAAAACAAAGCAAACCAGCAAUCUCUGCUACAUCUCAUGGCCUGCUUAAGCACAGGUCUGGACUAGAACAUUUGCUGUGACCAUUUAGUGACCCAUGCUUGUCCCAGAUUCAUCUUAUUGGAAAAAGCAAUUUGUCUACCCAUGUGUCCUGAAGUACUGAUAUUUGUCAAAUCUGCUGCUUUGAAAGCCCUAGAUUUGAACUAUUGGAUAUGCAGAGAGAGAAGCAAAUAAAAGCUGUCUGUGAUAUGUGUGUUUCAUCUGGGUAAUAUCCUGUAUCCAGAGGACUGCCUGCAAAUAUGAUUUGCUGUUUUAAGUCUGUUUUAUCCAUGCUGAAAUAUUUUGCUUCAUUGAAUUCUCUGUUUGAGAUGAAUAAUGGUUUGAAUAUGGUAUGUGAUGGCUCUGUAGACUCCCUCAGCUGUAUAACUUGAAUAAAUACAUUGUUCUGGAGAGAUGGUAUAACAACACUGCUGAAGAUUUAGAAGCAUUCCAACUACCAAACAGGCAGGAGCAGGACCAUCCUGGCCUGCGGCGUUUAUAUGCGAUGCAAGAAUGGGCAAACAUUUGUGCAGCAAAGAGGCUGUGAAAAGGUGAAGGAGGCUUGCAGAAGGGGAGGAGAGGGAGCAUGCUAAAACAAGCAGCAUGCUGUUCAUCCUGACUCAGCACACUGGGGUCUUGCUCUCCUGAGGUCUGAGAUUCCACCAGCUAUGUCCUUCUGGUCUUGUCCUAUGCCUUGCAGAGGAGUGAAGAGAACUUCCAGAGGUUAUCCAGCUCUGCUUUUCCUCAGUACAUUCUCAGCCAUCACAUGGAGAUGUGUUUUCUGCAAGGCUUUGCAUGUGGCCUGUAGCAUCUGUGUGGGUUGUUGUGUUGAACUUGUCUAGACCUGUUUCUGCACAUGGAUCAGAAUCUGGCCUGGGUCACUGCUCCUGUGCACAGACAGUUUUGUUAGGGUGAUGCUCCCUGGUGACUUAACUGAGCAAGCACUGCACAUACCAGAGAACCCACUUGAAACAGCUACUCCUUUUGCAGUCCCUAUGCUUGAAGAUUAACAUCCUUUCCAAAACCUGCCUCAGUCCCAGAGCAACAGGCUCUGUUCUGUCCUCCAGCAUCUCCAUCACUCAUUUACUGCAACAAUUGGCUUCAGCCUUCGAUUUCCUCUGUGGAGCAUAUGGGAAAGAGACAGGCUGAGUUGUGAACAUUAAUAACAAUGAAUAAUAACAGCACAAGUUUCACAAGCUUUAACAAUCAAAUGAAUCAACAAUCAGGAAGGUUUCAUUAAUAAAUACCUGCAGGAGUUAGAUGACAGGGGUGCUAGUGCCAAAGGUGUGUGUAUCAGUUAAAGGCACUUAUCCAGUGUGAUCUGAAUUCUUAGUCCCUCUGUUUACCUGGUGGGUUCCAUGCUCUCCUCCAUGACCUGCUGCAGAGGGGAGGCUUCUGCCUGCUUGGCAUGGAGGACAGGGAGGAUCCGGGCACACUUACUGAUCUGCCUUCAGUUCGCAUCUGUUUUUUAGGCUGCUUGGUCCUCUGGUACAAUCACAACAAUGCUAGAAUAAUGCUUUAAACCCAAUCAUUUUUAUGGGAACACACAUAGUAUAAAAGGUCUGACUGACUGUGCACAC